This 433-nucleotide unclassified non-coding RNA is filed under the name soil metagenome. RNAcentral describes it as "partial contains 5.8S ribosomal RNA, internal transcribed spacer 2, and large subunit ribosomal RNA". The stretch from base 1 to 120 matches the Rfam family "5.8S ribosomal RNA", at positions 35 to 154 of the family's 154-position model. The record is from RNAcentral.
GAUGAAGAACGUAGCGAAAUGCGAUACGUAAUGUGAAUUGCAGAAUUCAGUGAAUCAUCGAAUCUUUGAACGCAUAUUGCGCUCUCUGGUAUUCCGGAGAGCAUGCUUGUUUGAGUAUCAGUAAACACCUCAACUUCCAUAUCUUUUUUGAAAUGGGAGUUGGACUUGAGUGAUCCCAACGCUUUUCCUCACCGAAAAGUGGCGGGUUACUUGAAAUGCAGGUGCAGCUGGACUUUUCUCUGAGCUAUAAGCAUAUCUAUUUAGUCUGCCUAAAAAACAGAUUAUUACCUUUGCUGCAGCUAACAUAAAGGAGAUUAGUUCUUGUGCUGACUGAUGCAGGAUUCACAAAGACAGGCUUCGGCCGCCUUUGUAAACUCGAUCUCAAAUCAAGUAAGACUACCCGCUGAACUUAAGCAUAUCAAUAAGCGGAGGA